RNAcentral lists this ribosomal RNA (253 nucleotides) under uncultured bacterium. RNAcentral's name for it is "partial 16S ribosomal RNA". It matches the Rfam family "Bacterial small subunit ribosomal RNA", at positions 524 to 776 of the family's 1533-position model. The record is from RNAcentral.
UACGAAGGGGGCUAGCGUUGCUCGGAAUGACUGGGCGUAAAGGGCGCGUAGGCGGACUGUCCAGUCAGGCGUGAAAUUCCUGGGCUUAACCUGGGGGCUGCGCUUGAGACGUAGGGUCUAGAGUUCGGAAGAGGGUCGUGGAAUUCCCAGUGUAGAGGUGAAAUUCGUAGAUAUUGGGAAGAACACCGGUGGCGAAGGCGGCGACCUGGUCCUGGACUGACGCUGAGGCGCGAAAGCGUGGGGAGCAAACAGG